RNAcentral lists this ribosomal RNA (301 nucleotides) under uncultured bacterium. RNAcentral's name for it is "partial 16S ribosomal RNA". It matches the Rfam family "Bacterial small subunit ribosomal RNA", at positions 509 to 807 of the family's 1533-position model. The record is from RNAcentral.
CAGUCGCCACGGUAAUACGGAGGGGGCUAGCGUUGUUCGGAAUUACUGGGCGUAAAGCGCACGUAGGCGGCUUGGUAAGUUAGAGGUGAAAGCCUGGAGCUCAACUCCAGAAUUGCCUUUAAGACUGCCGAGCUAGCAGGUGAGAGAGGUAAGUGGAAUUCCGAGUGUAGAGGUGAAAUUCGUAGAUGUUCGGAAGAACACCAGUGGCGAAGGCGGCUUACUGGCUCAUACUGGACGCUGAGGUGCGAAAGCGUGGGGAGCAAACAGGAUUAGAUACCCCAGUAGUCCCUGUCUCUUAUAC